AAAGAAAAUAACAAUGAUUCCCUCAGUAACGGCGAGCGAAGAGGGAUAAGCUCAAAUUUUAAAUCUGUUGGGUUCCACUUAACAGAGUUGUAUUUUGAAGAAACGUUUUCUGCGUCCAGGAUUAGCCUAAAUCCUUUGGGAUAAGGUAUCAUGGAGGGUGAGAAUCCCGUUCACGGUUAAUCUUAAGGAAGCUCUACGAUACGUUUUCCAAGAGUCGAGUUGUUUGGGAUUGCAGCUCAAAAUGGGAGGUAAAUUUCUCCUAAGGCUAAAUAUUGGCGAGAGACCGAUAGCGAACAAGUACCGUGAGGGAAAGAUGAAAAGAACUUUGAAAAGAGAGUUAAACAGUACGUGAAAUUGUUGAAAGGGAAACGAUUGAAG
RNAcentral lists this ribosomal RNA (378 nucleotides) under Funneliformis mosseae. Its description in RNAcentral is "eukaryotic LSU rRNA". It matches the Rfam family "Eukaryotic large subunit ribosomal RNA", at positions 58 to 428 of the family's 3401-position model. The record is from RNAcentral. Lineage: Eukaryota; Fungi; Glomeromycota; Glomeromycetes; Glomerales; Glomeraceae.